ACGAGUGGCGGACGGGUGAGUAACGCGUAGAAAUCUGCCCAGUAGUGGGGGACAACCCGGAGAAAUCCGGGCUAAUACCGCAUACGCCCUACGGGGGAAAGGAGGGGAUCUCUUCGGAGACCUUUCGCUAUUGGAUGAGCCUGCGUCGGAUUAGCUAGUUGGUAGGGUAACGGCCUACCAAGGCGACGAUCCGUAGCUGGUCUGAGAGGACGAUCAGCCACACUGGGACUGAGACACGGCCCAG
This 244-nucleotide ribosomal RNA is filed under the name uncultured bacterium. Its description in RNAcentral is "partial 16S ribosomal RNA". It matches the Rfam family "Bacterial small subunit ribosomal RNA", at positions 91 to 334 of the family's 1533-position model. The record is from RNAcentral.